Stylophora pistillata is the source of this 461-nucleotide long non-coding RNA. The record is from RefSeq and is a predicted model, not a curated record. Lineage: Eukaryota; Metazoa; Cnidaria; Anthozoa; Scleractinia; Pocilloporidae.
UCCAGUUCCCAUCAGGCCUGAGUUCCCAUAUCAUAUCUGUUGCUUCACAGGCGCCAUCUUGUAAUAGAGGAGCCUUUUGGUCGUCACCGAGGUAGAGAUGCCGGUCAAUGUGAAUCCAGCGAUUCGAUUUUCAAGAUAUGCUGCCCUUCUCAUUGGUGUGGCUUAUGGAUACAGGAGAAAUGAGUACCUCAAACCCAUAGCAGCCCGUGAAAGGGAAGAAGAAGCUGCAAGGGCCAAAGAGAGAGCAGAGCUGGAGGCAAUCAGGAAAGCUGAAGCUGCUAAAGUUCCACUGUUUUAGAUGAGCCAUCUAUAUGAUUGUGGAAGGAUGUGGAGUAUCCAUUCAUGGCAUUUUGUUAAACUUUGGUGUCAAUUUAAUCCCUUUCUGUCCAGUGGUGAUAAUUUGUAAGGCCAUAACACUCUGUAUCGGAUAGUACAAUGUCAAUAAAUGUUUUUGAAGUGGU